CUAAUAGUAAAAGAGUUUGAAGAUAGAGUUAGAUGUGGAAAUUCUGGAUUUCAAUAGUUGAGUAACAACUUAUAAUGUCUAGGUAAAGUAUUAAUUGAGAAAAUUAGAUUAAUUGAGGGGUUAAUUGAGAAAGGACCGAAUUGUAUAAACUGUGAAAUUUGGGGUAAAAUGGAAAUCACCAUUUUGCACUAAAGCAGUUUUGGACAGCAGCAGUAGUGUAACUUUGAAAAAUCACCAAAAAUUGUAGAGAUUGAAUUAGAG
Molecule: long non-coding RNA, 261 nt
Filed under: Gossypium barbadense (sea-island cotton)
Lineage: Eukaryota; Viridiplantae; Streptophyta; Magnoliopsida; Malvales; Malvaceae
Description: long non-coding RNA (GBAR_LNC017277)
Source: RNAcentral